Molecule: long non-coding RNA, 2301 nt
Organism: Fundulus heteroclitus (mummichog)
Lineage: Eukaryota; Metazoa; Chordata; Actinopteri; Cyprinodontiformes; Fundulidae
Exons: 2
Source: RefSeq, a predicted model, not a curated record
AAAUAGUCCCUCCAGGGAGUUCUGGGUUCCUCUCUGGGUUCUGGUCCCGGUGGGACGGGCCCAGAAAACCUCCAGAUGGUUCUGAUCCGAAGUCUGAACCCCCUCAACUAAAUCUUUUCAAUAAAUGAAUCAUACAAGUAUAAAUAAUAUGUAAACAUUAAAAAUUAUUUAACCGAGAUUAAAUGCAAACAGGUAAAACAUAUAAUAAAAAUGAAAGAUCCAUAAAAUAUAAUAUUUUAACUGUUUUUCAGAACCAUAACUGUAAACAGGCCCUAUUCAUUUCAUGUAGCAUUAUUCUCUGGUUCCGGUUCAAUAAAGUUAACUGAAUCUCAUAGCAUAGAAUCAAGAGAAAAACUCUAAAUAUUUAUUGAAUCUGAACCUAAAUGCCAGAUAUUUACAGUCUAAUAGUUUUACAAAGACAAAUAAACCCUAAAAUAUUUUUCACACAGAAAAAAUAAAAGUACAGAGGAGCGUGGAACAAAAGGAAGAUCUAUUUUUGAAUAUGCAGACAUUACCGAGAAGAGGUCAAACCUCAGAGAGGAGGUGCCAGGGGAGUUGCACCUGUGGGCGAGCUGCGGAGGGAGAGAGGGAGUGCCGGCAGGUAGAACAGGUUUGGGCGAGGCGGUGCGCAGAGCUCCAGAUACGCAGCCAAGCAGAGAGCUGAGUCAGAUUUGUUGGUUCGCUCAGAUAAAACUGCCUUUUUCUGCUGCUGUGAAGAACCGAAUCAUCUCCAGGCAGGAGAAGAAGGAGGAGGAAGACUGAGGAAGAGGAAGGAGGUCAUCACAGAGGUCAGCGCCCUGAACAUCUCUGAUUGGCCCUUCCUCCAGUGACAUCAUCAGAAUGUCAUCAAAUAUCAACAUCUCCUUGGAAAAUCCGUACGGUCAGGUGACCAUCCCCAGGGCCAAGCUCCGCCAACCGGAUGACGCCACAGUGAUAGCCAAUCCCAUGGCUCUGAACAGCGAGAACCCGUACUCUCAGAAGGGGUCCGACCCCCCCCCCUACACGGUGAAGGAGGAUGGAGGCGAGGAGGAGGAGGGGCGGUGCCGAGCCUGUUGCUACCGCUGCCGCAGGAGGAAGUGACGUGCCAGGAGACGGUGAUUGGCUCAUCAGUAGAUCUCCCGCUUCAGAGCUAAUCACCUUUCUGAUUCUGUAAUCAGUCACCGCUGCAAAACCAGAACCACCAGAACAAGAACGUCCAAAGAGGCUCCAUCAGAACCACAUUUAUAGAGGAACCUGACAACGAAAUAACGAAUCAGAGACCAGGCAGGUCCCGUUCUGGAGACUCUGUAGAGCCGAAGGAGUUUCAGGAAGCGGGAAUCCUUCAAAGACUGCAAGGACUCUAGAGAUCCUGAAACGGUUAAAAACAAACUGUAGAUACUGGAUGACCCGAAAAAAUAUAAACCCAACAGAACCAAGGCCCUGAAAAUUCUGCAGACUUCAAGAACCGGGAAGAGCUACGGAUGUAAAAACUGGACUCAGAGGACCAAGAAACUCUGAUUAUUUGGUGUUUUUACUCCUGGUUUGCUUUAGAUUAUUAUUCCUGUUAAACCACCUGAAGCUUGAAAGCUUUGUGUUACGCCUUUAAUGCAGUUUAACAAAUUUUCCACCAGAUAAGAUCAAUUUUUGAUUUUUUUGUGUCAGAUCCCAUUUAACGAUUUUAUAUUUGUAUCUAAGUUCAGGAAAACUUUUGUUUAAUAUUUUAUGUCACAUAAUAGGAUGUUUCUACUUUGUUGUGAGGAAACAGCUUUAUUUUAAAAAAAGCAGCCUGUUUUUCACAUUCAUGAUAAAAACAUCCAUCUGUGGAUGACAGGGACAGUCAAAUAAACCAGCAGAGAUGCCUGUAGAACAAAGUGAUUUAGGCUUUAAUUAAAACUGUUUUUUAUUGUUGUUUCAGAGAUUUGUUGAUGUAGUCGCUGCUGGUUUUGGUGAGAUGUUUGCGUUUUAUUUCUGGAUUCAGAAAAAAGGUUUUCCAUGAAGUAUUUCUAUUUUCUGCACCGUGAUUUUCAACAUGAAGGAGUUUUUGAAUAAUAAAUCAUAGCGAGUCAUUGUAGAUGAAGAACAAAUAGACAGAGAAGUUGCAUGUUUUGUCUAUUCGUCUUAAUCAUUAUGCAAUUAAAAAUACCAAACCUGAUCUUCAACAUUGUGGCUUGCCUGUAAAUAUUAACUGCCUCCUAAGAACAACCUUCAGGCUGUAAAUACUAUUAAAUCCUAUUUAAUGUUUUAGAUUUAACUUUAAUUAAAUGGGUGAGACGCUGGGUAAACCAUGGACAGAUGUAUUUAUGUGAUUAUGAAAAAAAAAAA